RNAcentral lists this ribosomal RNA (242 nucleotides) under uncultured bacterium. RNAcentral's name for it is "partial 16S ribosomal RNA". It matches the Rfam family "Bacterial small subunit ribosomal RNA", at positions 97 to 334 of the family's 1533-position model. The record is from RNAcentral.
GGCGAACGGGUGAGUAAUACAUAAGUAACCUGCCCUAGACAGGGGGAUAACUACUGGAAACGGUAGCUAACACCGCAUAGGUGUGGAAGUCGCAUGACUUUCAUAUUAAAAGUGCUUUGGCACUGGUAAAGGAUGGACUUAUGGCGCAUUAGCUAGUUGGUAAGGUAAAGGCUUACCAAGGCGACGAUGCGUAGCCGACCUGAGAGGGUGACCGGCCACACUGGGACUGAGACACGGCCCAG